This 253-nucleotide ribosomal RNA is filed under the name uncultured bacterium. RNAcentral's name for it is "partial 16S ribosomal RNA". It matches the Rfam family "Bacterial small subunit ribosomal RNA", at positions 524 to 776 of the family's 1533-position model. The record is from RNAcentral.
UACGUAGGGGGCAAGCGUUGUCCGGAUUUAUUGGGCGUAAAGCGCACGCAGGCGGUCUGCCAAGUUCGGAGUGACAGUUUCCGGCUUAACCGGAAAAGGUCUUCGAAAACUGGUGGACUUGAGGACUUGAGGGGGAGACGGAAUUCCGGGUGGAGCGGUGAAAUGCGCAGAUAUCAGGAGGAACACCGGUGGCGAAGGCGGAUCUCUGGGCCUUACCUGACGCUGAGGCGCGAAAGCUAGGGGAGCAAACAGG